Molecule: long non-coding RNA, 468 nt
Filed under: Heterocephalus glaber (naked mole-rat)
Lineage: Eukaryota; Metazoa; Chordata; Mammalia; Rodentia; Bathyergidae
Description: lncRNA (ENSHGLG00100036621.1)
Source: RNAcentral
UGGGACCUAGGGUUGGCUGCAGCCAGGGUUUCAGGGGUGUGUUGUGACUCCACUGUGCCAGGUGGCCCAGAUUUGGAGGUCAAAGACUGCAGUCCAAAGUCAAGUUCAAGGAGCCAGGAAGAGCAACAAGAGAAAGGACUGGCAAAAAAGAACUUGCAGAAGUGAGAAUACAGGUCAGGAGUCCCUGAAGAGUCCCAGAAGCAACAGAACGGCUUUGGAGCCAAGCUGGGCCAUGGAUCACACAGCUGAGGAGACUGACACUCAGAUGGCCCUGAAUGAGAGCUCCAGACCCUGCAGCUGGCCAUGCAGAGGUUUGGGCCAGAAAUAACUUCACCUCCCUGCACCUAUUUGCUCGAUCCUGUGAAUGUUUGCCAGAUUCAGCAGAGAGCCCUGCACCAGCAAGAAGGCCUUCACCAGAUGCUGCUUCUCAGCCUUGAACUUUCCAGCCUUCAGAACCAUGAGCCAAAU